AGAUUGAACGCUGGCGGCAUGCCUUACACAUGCAAGUCGAACGGCAGCACGGGAGCAAUCCUGGUGGCGAGUGGCGAACGGGUGAGUAAUAUAUCGGAACGUGCCCAGUCGUGGGGGAUAACGCAGUGAAAGCUGUGCUAAUACCGCAUACGAUCUAUGGAUGAAAGCGGGGGACUCGCAAGAGCCUCGCGCGAUUGGAGCGGCCGAUAUCAGAUAGCUAGUGGUAGGGUAAAGCCCACCAAGGCGACGAUCUGUAGCUGGUCUGAGAGGACGACCAGCCACACUGGAACUGAGACGACGGUCCAAGACUCCGUACGGGAGCGAGCGAGGUGGGUAAUUUUGGACUAAGUGGCGAC
This 356-nucleotide ribosomal RNA is filed under the name uncultured soil bacterium. Its description in RNAcentral is "bacterial SSU rRNA". It matches the Rfam family "Bacterial small subunit ribosomal RNA", at positions 26 to 379 of the family's 1533-position model. The record is from RNAcentral.